RNAcentral lists this ribosomal RNA (406 nucleotides) under uncultured bacterium. RNAcentral describes it as "partial 16S ribosomal RNA". It matches the Rfam family "Bacterial small subunit ribosomal RNA", at positions 29 to 526 of the family's 1533-position model. The record is from RNAcentral.
AAUGAACGCUGGCGGCGGGCCUAACACAUGCAAGUCGAACGCGUGGCGGACGGGUGAAUCAUGUCUGGGAAACUCCUUGAUGGAGGGGGAUAACUCCUGGAACCGGUAGCUAAUCCCGCAUACCAUCCACUGUUCCCAGAUGGCAUUAGCUUGUUGGUGGGGUAACGGCUCACCAAGGCGACGAUCCCUAGCUGGUCUGCGAGGAUGACCGGCCACACUGGAACUGAGACACGGUCCAGACUCCUACGGGAGGCAGCAGUAGGGAAUCUUGCGCAAUGGGCGCAAGCCUGAUGCAGCCAUGCCGCGUGUAUGAAGAAGGCCUUCGGGUUGUAAAGUACUUUCAGCGGGGAGGCGUUACCCGCAGAAGAAGCACCGGCUAACUCCGUGCCAGCAGCCGCGGUAAUAC